GGAAGGAUCAUUGAUAUCCGUCUGUCCACACCACUGGUCACUUUUGUGGGUGCUCUGCUAAUUUAUUAGUAGGGCACAGGGUCUGGGCCUGCUCUCGACUGGUUAACGCCGGCUUGGGCAGUGCUCGGGGUGGGCUGGCAGGAGUUCCCCUGAAACAAAUGCUUGCUGUCCCUGCUAGGCAGCUUGAAGUCCUAUAUCUGAAGGCCUGCAGAUUUAUUUUUGCAGUGUCUGGGGGCGGGAGGCUUUGCCUUGCUUCCUUCUUGCUUGCUCUCGCAGCAGGUGAGUUUAGGGGUAGGCAUAGUCUCUUUUAUUUUAUUAGACUCAUUAAAAACUAUUCUAAAGACUAGUCAUGGCAGCUCUGCUGACAUGCAAACUAAAGACAACUCUCAACAACGGAUGUCUUGGCUCUUGCAACGAUGAAGAACGCAGCGAAAUGCGAUACGUAGUGUGAAUUGCAGAAUUCCGUGAACCAUCGAAUCUUUGAAUGCAUAUUGCGCCUGGCGCCCCAUUUGGUGGCUCCAGACAUGUCUGCCUCAGCGUCGUGAUGGACCCUUGGGCCUUCUACUAUUUUUUUUAAUAGUAGUUGGCUCAGAUCUGGCAGUCUCAGUGAUAGCAAUAUUACUGGGUCUGCUGAAGCUCAGAGACUCAAACCAUAGGACCCAUACCAAAGGGACAAUAGCUGGUUAGGUUUCUUUUGAAGCUACUUGCUAGUGUCCUGGGACCUUUGCAGUUACUUAGAGUCAGCAGGAAACUAAUCAUCUUUUUGACCUGAGUUUAGGCAAGGCUACCCGCUGAACUUAAGCAUAUCAAUAAGCGGAGGAAAAGAAACUAACUAGGAUUCCCUUAGUAACGGCGAGUGAACUGGGAAGAGCCCAACUUGAAAAUCUCCAGCCUUUGGCUGGCGAAUUGUAGUCUAUAGAAGCACUACCUGAGACCGGCCUUGCCCAAGUUUCCUGGAAUGGAACGCUAUAGAGGGUGAGAGCCCCGUCGGCGAGGUGCAGGUCUCUCCACGGUAUGCUUUCGCAGAGUCGGGUUGUUUGAGAAUGCAGCCCUAAUUUGGUGGUAAAUCCCAUCUAAGGCUAAAUACUGGCAAGAGACCGAUAGCGAACAAGUACCGCGAGGGAAAGAUGAAAAGAACUUUGAAAAGAGAGUUAAAAGUGCCUGAAAUUGUUGAGGGGGAAGUGUUUGAAAGUCGCGGGUGUUCCCAGGCUUACGUCUCUCCAUCCGGAUUGGCUGAAGGCACUGGGAACUGGUCAGCAUGGGCUAGACUUGCGGGAUAAAACCAGAGGUUGCUACUUUGGCUAUGCCGUGGGCCUGGCUGAGGUUGAAGGGUGCUUUUGUCCUUCGGGAUCUGCAUCCUCACGAUGCUGGCGGAAGGCUUUCAAACAGCCCGUCUUGAAACACGGACCAAGGAGUCUAACAUGUAUGCGAGUUGGUGGGUGGAAAACCCACGAAGCGCAAGUAACCUGACUGGUGGGAUGGCGAAAGCCUGCACCAUCGACCGACCAUGAUCUUCUGUGAAAGGUUCGAGUAAGAGCAUACCUGUUGGGACCCGAAAGAUGGUGAACUAUGCCUGAGCAGGGCGAAGCCAGAGGAAACUCUGGUGGAGGCUCGCAGAUGUGCUGACGUGCAAAUCGCUUUUCGGACUUGGGUAUAGGGGCGAAAGACUAAUCGAACCAUCUAGUAGCUGGUUCCCUC
This 1698-nucleotide unclassified non-coding RNA is filed under the name uncultured fungus. RNAcentral's name for it is "sequence contains 18S rRNA gene, ITS1, 5.8S rRNA gene, ITS2, 28S rRNA gene". The stretch from base 765 to 1698 matches the Rfam family "Eukaryotic large subunit ribosomal RNA", at positions 1 to 961 of the family's 3401-position model. Lineage: Eukaryota; Fungi. The record is from RNAcentral.